This is a non-coding RNA of Salvia hispanica, 570 nucleotides long. NCBI's taxonomy places the organism in Eukaryota, Viridiplantae, Streptophyta, Magnoliopsida, Lamiales, Lamiaceae. The record is from RefSeq and is a predicted model, not a curated record.
UUUGAGAAUUUCAUUGUGAAUUUCAACAUGAACAACACGAAGGUUGGGCUGCCAGAGUUGCACAACAUGCUUAAGACUUAUGAGUCUUCCACUACUAAGGUAAAAUCUGUGCUCAUGGUGAGCUCUUCUGCGAAGUCUUCCAAAGGGAAGAAUAAGUAGCAACAGAAGAAGAAAGCAUCUAAGGAUGUUGUUCUAAAGCCUAAGAGUGGAGGGGCUAAGAAGAAGUCAAAGUUAUCAAAGGAUGAGUGUCUUUUCUGUCAUGAAAAGGGACACUGGAAGAGAGACUGCCCAAAAUUCAAGGCACAAGGUGCAGAAAGUGGGAGCUCGGGGUCUAAGUGACUGCAGGAAAGUGAGGCCUGGGGAAGUUGAUUUGCGUGUUGGGAAUGGAGCAAGAGUUGCUGCCGAAUGCGUGGGGACUUACAGAUUGGAUCUUCCCUCAGGACAUAGACUAGAAUUGUUCAAUUGUUAUUUCGUUCCAGUUAUUUCUAAGAAUAUUAUUUCCAUUCCGAUGUUAGACAUUGAAGGUUUUUCCUUCCAUUUUGCAAACAGCAGAUGCUCGUUUUCUUUUAA